UACAGAGGUCUCAAGCGUUGUUCGGAUUCAUUGGGCGUAAAGGGCGCGUAGGCUGCGGGGCAAGUCGGGUGUGAAAUCUCAGAGCUCAACUCUGAAACUGCACUCGAUACUGCUUUGCUCGAGGACUGGAGAGGAGAUUGGAAUUCACGGUGUAGCAGUGAAAUUCGUAGAUAUUCGGAAGAACACCAGUGGCGAAGGCGGCUCACUGGCCCGGUACUGACGCUGAGGUGCGAAAGCGUGGGGAGCAAACAGG
RNAcentral lists this ribosomal RNA (253 nucleotides) under uncultured bacterium. RNAcentral describes it as "partial 16S ribosomal RNA". It matches the Rfam family "Bacterial small subunit ribosomal RNA", at positions 524 to 776 of the family's 1533-position model. The record is from RNAcentral.